RNAcentral lists this ribosomal RNA (305 nucleotides) under uncultured bacterium. RNAcentral describes it as "bacterial SSU rRNA". It matches the Rfam family "Bacterial small subunit ribosomal RNA", at positions 336 to 639 of the family's 1533-position model. The record is from RNAcentral.
CUCCUACGGGAGGCAGCAGUGAGGAAUAUUGGUCAAUGGCCGGAAGGCUGAACCAGCCAAGCCGCGUGAAGGACGAAGGUGCCAAGCAUUGUAAACUUCUUUUGUCAAGGGACAAAAUCAGGCUCGAGAGCCUGACCGAGGGUACUUGAAGAAAAAGCAUCGGCUAACUCCGUGCCAGCAGCCGCGGUAAUACGGAGGAUGCGAGCGUUAUCCGGAUUUAUUGGGUUUAAAGGGUGCGUAGGCGGACUGUUAAGUCAGCGGUAAAAGCCUGGGGCUCAACCUCGGAGAGUGGUUGAAAGUGGUUG